This 449-nucleotide ribosomal RNA is filed under the name uncultured bacterium. Its description in RNAcentral is "bacterial SSU rRNA". It matches the Rfam family "Bacterial small subunit ribosomal RNA", at positions 791 to 1238 of the family's 1533-position model. The record is from RNAcentral.
UAGUCCACGCCGUAAACGAUGUCAACUAGCCGUUGGGAGCAAUUAAGCUUUUAGUGGCGCAGCUAACGCGAUAAGUUGACCGCCUGGGGAGUACGCCGGCAACGGUAAAACUCAAAUGAAUUGACGGGGGCCCGCACAAGCGGUGGAGCAUGUGGUUUAAUUCGAUGCAACGCGAAAAACCUUACCUACCCUUGACGUCCUCAGAACUUGUUAGAGAUAACUUGGUGCCUUCGGGAACUGAGUGACAGGUGCUGCAUGGCUGUCGUCAGCUCGUGUCGUGAGAUGUUGGGUUAAGUCCCGCAGCGAGCGCAACCCUUGCCUUUAGUUGCCAGCAUUUAGUUGGGCACUCUAAAGGGACUGCCGGCGUUAAGCCGGAGGAAGGUGGGGAUGACGUCAAGUCCUCAUGGGCCCUUAUGUCCAGGGGCUACACACGUGCUACAAUGGGAUAA